Molecule: ribosomal RNA, 460 nt
Filed under: uncultured bacterium
Lineage: Bacteria
Description: partial 16S ribosomal RNA
Rfam family: Bacterial small subunit ribosomal RNA
Source: RNAcentral
CCUACGGGAGGCAGCAGUGAGGAAUAUUGGUCAAUGGGCGCGAGCCUGAACCAGCCAAGUCGCGUGAGGGAGGACGGCCCUACGGGUUGUAAACCUCUUUUGCCGGGGAGCAACGGGCGCCACGUGUGGCGUCACUGAGAGUACCCGGAGAAAAAGCAUCGGUAAACUCCGUGCCAGCAGCCGCGGUAAUACGGGGGAUGAGAGCGUUAUCCGGAUUUAUUGGGUUUAAAGGGUGCGUAGGCUGAUCGUGAAGUCAGUGGUCAAAUUAAGGGGCUCAACCCCUUCCCGCCAUUGAAACGGGCGUUCUUGAGGGGAAGAGAAGUAUGCGGAAUGCGUGGUGUAGCGGUGAAAUGCAUAGAUAUCACGCAGAACCCCGAUUGCGAAGGCAGCAUGCCGGCUUCCGACUGACGCUGAAGCACGAAAGCGUGGGGAUCGAACAGGAUUAGAUACCCGGGUAGUC